GGAUGUGGAAGUGAGCUCACGAGUGGUGGUGGAGAGAAAAUUGGUUUUGGUGUCAAAUUAGGUGAUAAAGGAGAUAGAAUCGACAUAGUCUUAUCAGAUUUUUAGUAAUGGGUGGAACAGUUGGUGGUGUUUUGCAAAUGGUGCCGAUGAUUUUUUGAUAUGUGGGUGGUUCUGUUGUUGGUUGUCGCGAUAAGAUGAUGCACAUUUGGUUCCUAACGAUAUAGGGAGUGGUAGUGGUGGCGAAGUGGUAGUGGUGGAGGCAACAAGGUGUGAUCAACUCUAUCUUUGGUGUGAUUGUUUACGACCAGAUCUACAACUGUAUGUAACUUGAUUACAUAUAAUCAACCAUUAGACUAACCUGAUAACAGACAGUCACAUUGAAGACAAAUAUUUGGUCACAAUCACGAAUAACACAAGUUAGUGAUGGUAGUAUUUAUGAUUGUUGAUUUGAGUUGAAGGUGAUAGUGAUUGUGUAUUGGAGGUGAUGGUGGAUUGUGGUAC
RNAcentral lists this long non-coding RNA (501 nucleotides) under Olea europaea (common olive). Its description in RNAcentral is "long non-coding RNA (OEUR_LNC014482)". Lineage: Eukaryota; Viridiplantae; Streptophyta; Magnoliopsida; Lamiales; Oleaceae. The record is from RNAcentral.